RNAcentral lists this ribosomal RNA (459 nucleotides) under uncultured bacterium. RNAcentral's name for it is "partial 16S ribosomal RNA". It matches the Rfam family "Bacterial small subunit ribosomal RNA", at positions 338 to 795 of the family's 1533-position model. The record is from RNAcentral.
CCUACGGGUGGCAGCAGUGAGGAAUAUUGGUCAAUGGUCGGGAGACUGAACCAGCCAAGCCGCGUGAGGGAUGAAGGUACAGAGUAUCGUAAACCUCUUUUGUCAGGGAACAAAGGCGGGGACGUGUCCCCGGAUGAGUGUACCUGAAGAAAAAGCAUCGGCUAACUCCGUGCCAGCAGCCGCGGUAAUACGGAGGAUGCGAGCGUUAUCGGGUUUUAUUGGGUUUAAAGGGUGCGCAGGCGGUCUGUUAAGUGAGCGGUAAAAGCCCGGGGCUCAACCCCGGCCCGCCGUUGAAACUGGCAGUCUCGAGUUGGAGAGAAGUAUGCGGAAUGCGCGGUGUAGCGGUGAAAUGCAUAGAUAUCGCGCAGAACUCCGAUUGCGAAGGCAGCAUGCCGGCUCCACACUGACGCUGAGGCACGAAAGCGUGGGUAUCGAACAGGAUUAGAUACCCGAGUAGUC